CCUACGGGAGGCUGCAGUGAGGAAUAUUGGUCAAUGGACGUGAGUCUGAACCAGCCAAGUAGCGUGAAGGAUGACUGCCCUAUGGGUUGUAAACUUCUUUUAUAAGGGAAUAAAACGCGGCACGUGUGCCUUUUUGCAUGUACUUUAUGAAUAAGGAUCGGCUAACUCCGUGCCAGCAGCCGCGGUAAUACGGAGGAUCCGGGCGUUAUCCGGAUUUAUUGGGUUUAAAGGGAGCGUAGAUGGGUUGUUAAGUCAGUGGUGAAAGUCUGGGCUCAACCGUAGAAUUGCAAUUGGUACUGGCAGGCUUGAGUGCAGGUGAGGUAGGCGGAAUUCGUGGUGUAGCGGUGAAAUGCUUAGAUAUCACGAAGAACCCCGAUUGCGAAGGCAGCUUACUAAACUGCGACUGACAUUGAUGCUCGAAAGUGUGGGUAUCAAACAGGAUUAGAUACCCCAGUAGUC
RNAcentral lists this ribosomal RNA (459 nucleotides) under uncultured bacterium. RNAcentral describes it as "partial 16S ribosomal RNA". It matches the Rfam family "Bacterial small subunit ribosomal RNA", at positions 338 to 795 of the family's 1533-position model. The record is from RNAcentral.